RNAcentral lists this ribosomal RNA (366 nucleotides) under Agrobacterium tumefaciens. RNAcentral's name for it is "bacterial SSU rRNA". It matches the Rfam family "Bacterial small subunit ribosomal RNA", at positions 959 to 1321 of the family's 1533-position model. Lineage: Bacteria; Pseudomonadati; Pseudomonadota; Alphaproteobacteria; Hyphomicrobiales; Rhizobiaceae. The record is from RNAcentral.
ACGCGAAGAACCUUACCAGCUCUUGACAUUCGGGGUUUGGGCAGUGGAGACAUUGUCCUUCAGUUAGGCUGGCCCCAGAACAGGUGCUGCAUGGCUGUCGUCAGCUCGUGUCGUGAGAUGUUGGGUUAAGUCCCGCAACGAGCGCAACCCUCGCCCUUAGUUGCCAGCAUUUAGUUGGGCACUCUAAGGGGACUGCCGGUGAUAAGCCGAGAGGAAGGUGGGGAUGACGUCAAGUCCUCAUGGCCCUUACGGGCUGGGCUACACACGUGCUACAAUGGUGGUGACAGUGGGCAGCGAGACAGCGAUGUCGAGCUAAUCUCCAAAAGCCAUCUCAGUUCGGGAUUGCACUCUGCAACUCGAGUGCAG